CCUGUAUUCACCAAGACACCCUGCCCCUCUACUGUCUGCUUCAGAAGAUGCACUCUUAGCGCUUGUUGCAGUCGCGUCACUGCCUGCCGUGUCAUGCGCAGGGACGUACAUCUGGCCUCGGUGAACACCUGAAAUGUCCUGGGUACACUCAUGUUUAUUCACAUAUGGGGGCUAAAGCCAAGGGCUCAAAGCUUUUAUCAGCCUCCCAAAGGGAAACAGCUGUAGAAAACUGUGAGAUCCCUGCUCCUUCGAGUCUGAGCCUUCAUCAUACUCACCUGACAUACUCAGAGGGGUUCUUUCUGCUCCACCAGAGCUGUUCCAUAGACCACCUUGUCUAAGGCCAAGUGGACUGGAUUAGAUGAUCUCCCUGGAGCACCAAGUUUUCAGGACUUCCGUGGAGGACCAAGUCCCCAGAACCCCACUAUGGGGGCUCAGCCCUGCUACCUGCCCCGAGUCACUUGUGGGACUGACACUGACAAAGUCUGGUGAUUACACUGCACAGAGCCAUCACCACUCCAAUGGUCACACCCAUUCUUCUCCC
Molecule: long non-coding RNA, 541 nt
Filed under: Homo sapiens (human)
Lineage: Eukaryota; Metazoa; Chordata; Mammalia; Primates; Hominidae
Description: non-protein coding lnc-VPS26C-11:1
Source: RNAcentral